This 400-nucleotide ribosomal RNA is filed under the name uncultured bacterium. RNAcentral's name for it is "bacterial SSU rRNA". It matches the Rfam family "Bacterial small subunit ribosomal RNA", at positions 355 to 772 of the family's 1533-position model. The record is from RNAcentral.
GGGGGAAUAUUGGACAAUGGGCGCAAGCCUGAUCCAGCCAUGCCGCGUGAGUGAUGAAGGCCCUAGGGUUGUAAAGCUCUUUUGUGCGGGAAGAUAAUGACGGUACCGCAAGAAUAAGCCCCGGCUAACUUCGUGCCAGCAGCCGCGGUAAUACGAAGGGGGCUAGCGUUGCUCGGAAUCACUGGGCGUAAAGGGUGCGUAGGCGGGUCUUUAAGUCAGAGGUGAAAGCCUGGAGCUCAACUCCAGAACUGCCUUUGAUACUGAGGAUCUUGAGUUCGGGAGAGGUGAGUGGAACUGCGAGUGUAGAGGUGAAAUUCGUAGAUAUUCGCAAGAACACCAGUGGCGAAGGCGGCUCACUGGCCCGAUACUGACGCUGAGGCACGAAAGCGUGGGGAGCAAA